CAUUAGAUGACUGAAAUGUAAGUAAUGGUCUCUUAAACCAAGUUAUAGUAGAUUUAUUAAUAACAACUACUUCUAAUGA
RNAcentral lists this transfer RNA (79 nucleotides) under Erianthus versicolor. RNAcentral's name for it is "tRNA-Lys". Lineage: Eukaryota; Metazoa; Arthropoda; Insecta; Orthoptera; Chorotypidae. The record is from RNAcentral.